UCCCUGAAUCGACGUGUUCCUAUCCAAACAUAAAUGGAUGAAUGAAUAAGCACGGAAAAUUCCACGAAUUCAAAAUUACCUUUCUUAGAAAUGAUUUCUAAAACCUAAAGGAAUGCCCACCAAAGAAGGUUCACAAGUUAAAGAGAUAAUAUCUCACGUGGCCACUCAACUAAUGAUUUUUCUCUUACAAAGGCAAUCAGUUUCCCACAUCGCUCCUUCGGGAGGUUAUCCUUCACGAAUCUUCGCUUCCCUUAGAUACUACAGCUUUACUAGUUAGGGGCAUUUGUAAUGUGAUCAUGUUUCUGCCUAUCCGUUUGUUCUUUAAUAACUUUUUCAAACUCUACAAAUGAGAGUAUUUUUGUUCUCCCUAGCCUUCUCAUAGUCCCCCUCCUAUUUUCAUCUCUGGAAGCAAGAAUAUUUGCUGGUCAUUGUAUGCUAAGAACUUCAUUGACUGUGUUCCGGAACUUUUUGGUUAUAUGCAAUACAAAAAGCAGCCAGAAAAAGAACAACACAAUGAGUCUGAGAAACUUCAGUCACAUCUCAAAAAAUCAAUGUGUCAUCAGAAAUUCAGCAUAAAAAAUGUGUGACAUGUUCUCUUGAGCGCCAUUUAUGUCCAAACUCUUAUAUUAUUAUCCCAUCUCCUCCUCAAAGUAGAUCCCCAGCAUCUUGCUGAGGUCCCUCCAUCACAGUAAGGGUGACAAACGAUCUGCUUACCUCAAUCCCCUCGGAGAAGGUAAGAAUCAUUACCAUUAGUUAGAAUUGAGAACUUGUAUGUGGUGAUGCCACAUCCCAUGUGUAACUUCCAAAAGAUAUAGGAAAUGCUUACAUGGUAAAAGCUUUUCCAACCACCGGUUUACAAGGUAUUCAAACCUUGCCUGGUCCCAUUUCUUUCCAGGCAUUUGUUGACAAUCGAAACAAACAUAAGUGAUCUGUAGUUAGCAGUUUUCUAAUGAUUAUCCAUAUGUUGGUCUCAACUUACCAAUAAAGUAUAUGCUUGUCUCGAUCGAGUAUAAUAGCUUGAAAUCCCUCAUUUCUUCUAUAUCACAUAUUUUUGGUGUCAAAGCAAUAAAGAAGAUGCAUUGUUUUUGGAAGUCUUGAACAUAUAAAAAAAGAAAAUUACUUUAGAGCAUUACGUAUAUAUCCCAUGAUAAUUCGCCAACAUUCCUGAAAAAAGGCCGCGGUGAAACAUUGAGUAACCUUAAUCCCUUCAUAUGGCUUAGAAAUAUUAGCUACCUCAUCCUUCAGGAAUGGUCCAUGCAGCGCUUUUUUUGGCAACCAUAAACCAAUAAAUUUUCACCUUCAUGACCUUUCCUCAGCGAUAGUAACUUCCUAGAAAUCCUUUGAUCAGUAAUUUUUCUGUACGAACUCUUCAUCCUGUUUAAUUAAGAGAUCUGAUUUAUACUACUAAUUUUCUCCGUAAUCUGGUACUUCCUUCGUCCCAAUCUGUGAAAAAUACUCAAGUUCCAACUUUGAGGCAAUAAGAAGCUUGGUUAGCCUUCUAACUCAAAAGCAAGGGUUCUUCCUUUUAAUUUUUGUGAAACCAUCUACCUCUAACUAUGUCUUUGAAUUUAAAGUAACUAAACGUGAUCACAGUAGGUUCGUCAUCCGUGAAAAUUUUAAGCAAGAUGUUUCUGGUCAAGUUAAAAUAUUGUAUGUAGCUGGAUUGCUUGAUACUUCUAAAAACAUCAUCUCAUUUAGUGGAGAAUAGGAAGCCAUCAAUUCUAGAUGUUACAACAAAGUCUUAACU
RNAcentral lists this long non-coding RNA (1747 nucleotides) under Solanum lycopersicum (tomato). RNAcentral describes it as "partial TCONS_00026078". Lineage: Eukaryota; Viridiplantae; Streptophyta; Magnoliopsida; Solanales; Solanaceae. The record is from RNAcentral.